Molecule: long non-coding RNA, 447 nt
Filed under: Pandoravirus salinus
Description: putative ncRNA
Source: RNAcentral
UUUUAUUCUUUCGCCGUGGGCUGCAGGGCGAACCGCGUCAGGUGGCCGGCGUGUGCGUGCGUGCGCGUGUCAAAAAGAAAAGACAAGGCAGGGAAAGAGAGAGAGGGCUACGGCAGCGGCAGCAGCAGCAGCGACCUAGUGGUGAUAGGCCUUGCGCUUGGCAUCGCUCCAAAAGGUGUCGGACCAGUCCUUGUGCUUCUUGUUCUUCUUGUCGGCAUACUUGUGAUGCUUCUUCUUGUAGUCCUGGUCGUCGUCCUCGUCGUCGUCCUCCUCCUCGUCGUCCUGGUCCUUCUUCUUCUUGUAGUCCUCGUCGUCGUCGUCGUCGUCGUCGUCUUCCGCCUGGUACUUGUGAUGCUUCUUCUUCUUGUCGUCCUUCUUCUUCUUGUGAUCCUCGUCGUCGGUGUCGUCCUUGUCGAGGGCCUUGUGGACGGCCUUGUAGACCAACUU